This 492-nucleotide ribosomal RNA is filed under the name uncultured bacterium. RNAcentral describes it as "partial 16S ribosomal RNA". It matches the Rfam family "Bacterial small subunit ribosomal RNA", at positions 29 to 507 of the family's 1533-position model. The record is from RNAcentral.
AGUGAACGCUGGCGGUAGGCCUAACACAUGCAAGUCGAACGGCAGCACAGUAAGAGCUUGCUCUUACGGGUGGCGAGUGGCGGACGGGUGAGGAAUACAUCGGAACCUACUUUUUCGUGGGGGAUAACGUAGGGAAACUUACGCUAAUACCGCAUACGACCUACGGGUGAAAGCAGGGGAACUUCGGACCUUGCGCGAUUGAAUGAGCCGAUGUCGGAUUAGCUAGUUGGCGGGGUAAAGGCCCACCAAGGCGACGAUCCGUAGCUGGUCUGAGAGGAUGAUCGGCCACACUGGAACUGAGACACGGUCCAGACUCCUACGGGAGGCAGCAGUGGGGAAUAUUGGGCAAUGGGCGCAAGCCUGAUCCAGCCAUACCGCGUGGGUGAAGAAGGCCUUCGGGUUGUAAAGCCCUUUUGUUGGGAAAGAAAAGCAGCAGGUUAAUACCCCGCUGUUCUGACGGUACCCAAAGAAUAAGCACCGGCUAACUUCGUG